RNAcentral lists this ribosomal RNA (289 nucleotides) under uncultured bacterium. Its description in RNAcentral is "partial 16S ribosomal RNA". It matches the Rfam family "Bacterial small subunit ribosomal RNA", at positions 773 to 1060 of the family's 1533-position model. The record is from RNAcentral.
GUGGAUUAGAUACCCGGGUAGUCCACGCCCUAAACGAUGUCAACUAGCUGUUGGGGGCUUCGGCCCUUGGUAGCGCAGCUAACGCGUGAAGUUGACCGCCUGGGGAGUACGGUCGCAAGAUUAAAACUCAAAGGAAUUGACGGGGACCCGCACAAGCGGUGGAUGAUGUGGAUUAAUUCGAUGCAACGCGAAAAACCUUACCUACCCUUGACAUGUCUGGAAUGCCGAAGAGAUUUGGCAGUGCUCGCAAGAGAACCGGAACACAGGUGCUGCACGGUCGUCGACAACU